AGGAAUGUAAAUUGUAUUUUAUAAUACAAGAUGUAAAAAUUCAUUAAAAUUCUGAGUAGUAUUUGAUAAUGACAUUUACUAUUCAAAUGUCUUGACCAAAUCAUGUGCCAGCAGUCGCGGCAAUACAUGGAAGACUAGUGUUAUUCAUCUUAAAUAGGUUUAAAGGGUACCUAGACGGUUAAAUAGACCUUAAAAAGGGUACAUAUUAACUAGAGUUUAAUGUAAAUUGGGCGGAUAGAACGAGUAGAGUAGAGAUAGAAUUCUUUGAUACACUCUGUAGACUGGUAAAGGCGAAAGCAA
Molecule: ribosomal RNA, 300 nt
Filed under: Cryptodiscus pini
Lineage: Eukaryota; Fungi; Ascomycota; Lecanoromycetes; Ostropales; Stictidaceae
Description: SSU rRNA
Source: RNAcentral